UGAUCUACCGGGUGUUCUCCCCGCCACGGAGCUUUUACAGGCCAAUUUCUUACUCCGUCCAGAGUAACGAGGAGCCGUGUCAGAUACGGAGGCCCCUCCGCCGGCUGCCCAGCUGCCGCAGACCCCCAGCACCACCUUGUGACUAUCAUGCCUAAUUGCUGCUUGCUUCCACAGCUUGCAGCCUCGCACGGCUGCCUGCUUGUCUUCUACUUUACAAGCAUAUCCUCAACCACAGCAACCAAAUAGUUUCCUUCUGGGACUGGGCAGGCUGGAAAUUACACAAGCUGUUGAAGUCUUGCUUAUAAGCAUGCUUCCUUCUAGGGAUUAAUUCAGGAAAGCAGCAAAACAGCUAUAUUCAGUAUU
Long non-coding RNA from Neopsephotus bourkii (Bourke's parrot), 363 nucleotides. RefSeq lists it as uncharacterized. The record is from RefSeq and is a predicted model, not a curated record. The transcript has 3 exons. NCBI's taxonomy places the organism in Eukaryota, Metazoa, Chordata, Aves, Psittaciformes, Psittacidae.